UACUUACUCCAUUAGAACUAGAACUUCGACCUUUAAUACGUUAAUCGACGUGCGUAAUACGUUCGUUGGGUUCUUAACCUCCUUCAUUCUUACAACGUAAACUUCUGCCCCCUCCAGGACGACAAAGACGAUAGACUUCGGGUCCAUCCGGUGUAACUUGUAUAUUUGCGAGGAUCUGAUGGGCGGUUGGACUCCGGAGGCGCGCGCUGCGACCAACCCGGCACGCUAGAAAGAUGACACGAGAAAAAACUGACGGCCGUGAACCUAGUUUGGGAUCUGGCUUCCCCAUUUUUCUUCGUUGCGUCGGCCGAGGAGAGAGGGGCGAGCAGAGGAGGAGAGGGGGUGCGGCGGGGAGGAGAGGGGCGAGCAGAGGAGGAGAGGAGAAGGGAGCUGCGGCUGAGGAGCGACCGGAGGCGGAAGGGAGAGGCGCAGUGGGGGCGUUAGGAACGGCGGCGGAGGAGAGGACGGCGGCGGUGGAGCCGGAGCAGAGGAGACACGACGGAGGAGGAGAGGUGAAGAGAGGCGGUGGCGUACCGGCGGCGGCGAGCGCACGUGAUGCAGCUACACCUGCCUCGCGCCCUGUUCCACUGCCACUGACCGUGCCGCUCGGUCUUCUUGCACGACGCGCGCCGCGUGCCCCUUCGAGCGGGUGAUGGGAGGAGGUGAACAAGAGCAGAGCCAGUCCGACCACUGGUCACGGUCGUGGCGACGGUGUACAGCGGGUGCGGGGAGGAGGCGAGCGAGAGCAGAGCCAGUCCGACCCCAUGCAGAUGAUGAACACGACGACGAUCUACACACUACAACCAACAUAUGAACAUAUACACAAGUUACAACAACCCACGACGACCAAGAUGAUGAUGGACACGACGACUACAAGUAAGGUAACCUCGACUCAGAGGAACGGCCGCUGGAACGGUAGUUAACGGAUAGACGUCCAUGCUAUCGAGGAGGAGGGGGAGAGAAGUUCCUCUCCACCGAUACUUUGAACAAGGAUUGCUUCUAUUUAAAUACCUCCACCAAUCCCCUUGUCCUCCUCGUUCAAACCGGACCGUCCACGAAGAGUCCAAGCUACCGAAGGUCGUUGUAGUUCUAGUAUCACGAAAGGAGAAUCGAGUUUUAGAUGUACAACAGCUAAGCUAUUCUCUUCCGUUCCUCGACAGGCGCUAGUCACAUAAAGGGUAGCCAUGUAGUUCCACACUAGUAGACGUUCCGGCUUAAUACGGUAACAACUACCACGUGUCACUUAAGUACCUACUCUACCUGCUUAAAGAUAACACACCCGACCUCCAAGAACUCCCAUCUUAUCCUACCCUCCUCCCCUGCACGCGAGGUAUAAAACAAUACGUGUGGAAGGAUUUGAUAUGAAAAGAAGAAUUGUAUACAAGUAACAGGCCAUCUUCGACAUCUAAAGUCGUAUGUGGCACGAUGGCCGACCCGUAGAAGUAGGACUCGGCACAGGUCUUGUUCUGGUCAUCCCCGUGGGACUCGCUCAUGAGCUCCGUACGACAGUUCAACCUACUCACGUUGGUCCGCUCAACGGCAUAAAUGUAUCUCUACGGAGCUCGUAUACCUCCCUCGUUCUAUUCCCCGAAACUGUCACAGAAGUGUGGCGGAGUCUCCCCCACGGUGGCUCCCGAAAGAGUACCUUGCGCCACGUUCCACCAAAAUGCCACGUGAUCCCCUCGUACCUUGCACCACGUGACCCCCACGGUGACU
Molecule: ribosomal RNA, 1716 nt
Filed under: Triticum aestivum (bread wheat)
Lineage: Eukaryota; Viridiplantae; Streptophyta; Magnoliopsida; Poales; Poaceae
Description: partial small subunit ribosomal RNA
Source: RNAcentral